CCUACGGGGGGCAGCAGUGGGGGAUAUUGCACAAUGGGGGGAACCCUGAUGCAGCGACGCCGCGUGGGUGAAGAAGCGCCUCGGCGCGUAAAGCCCUGUCAGCAGGGAAGAAAAUGACGGUAUCUGAAGAAUAAGCACCGGCUAACUACGUGCCAGCAGCCGCGGUAAUACGUAGGGGGCAAGCGUUAUCCGGAUUUACUGGGCGUAAAGGGGGCGCAGACGGGGAUGCAAGCCAGAUGUGAAAGCCUAGGGCUCAACCCCGGGACUGCUCUUGGAACUGCGUGGCUGGAGUGCAGGAGGGGCAGGCGGAAUUCCUGGUGUAGCGGUAAAAUGCGUAGAUAUCAGGAGGAACACCGGUGGCGAAGGCGACCUGCUGGACUGCAACUGACGUUGAGGCCCGAAAGCGUGGGGAGCAAACAGGAUUAGAUACCCGAGUAGUC
This 440-nucleotide ribosomal RNA is filed under the name uncultured bacterium. RNAcentral's name for it is "partial 16S ribosomal RNA". It matches the Rfam family "Bacterial small subunit ribosomal RNA", at positions 338 to 795 of the family's 1533-position model. The record is from RNAcentral.